AUUGAACGCUGGCGGCAUGCUUUACACAUGCAAGUCGAACGGUAACAGGCCUUCGGGUGCUGACGAGUGGCGAACGGGUGAGUAAUGCAUCGGAACGUACCCAGAGGUGGGGGAUAACGCAGCGAAAGCUGUGCUAAUACCACAUGUGAUCUGAGGAUGAAAGCGGGGGACCGAGCAGCAAUGUUUGGCCUCGCGCCUUUGGAGCGGCCGAUGUCGGAUUAGCUAGUUGGUGGGGUAAAGGCCUACCAAGGCGACGAUCCGUAGCUGGUCUGAGAGGACGACCAGCCACACUGGGACUGAGACACGGCCCAGACUCCUACGGGAGGCAGCAGUGGGGAAUUUUGGACAAUGGGCGCAAGCCUGAUCCAGCAAUGCCGCGUGCGGGAAGAAGGCCUUCGGGUUGUAAACCGCUUUUGGCAGGAACGAAACGGUGUCCGCUAAUACCGGGCGCUAAUGACGGUACCUGCAGAAUAAGCACCGGCUAACUACGUG
RNAcentral lists this ribosomal RNA (492 nucleotides) under uncultured bacterium. RNAcentral describes it as "partial 16S ribosomal RNA". It matches the Rfam family "Bacterial small subunit ribosomal RNA", at positions 29 to 507 of the family's 1533-position model. The record is from RNAcentral.